RNAcentral lists this transfer RNA (103 nucleotides) under Anopheles coluzzii. RNAcentral describes it as "tRNA-Tyr for anticodon GUA". It matches the Rfam family "tRNA". From Rfam's summary of the family: Transfer RNA (tRNA) molecules are approximately 80 nucleotides in length. Their secondary structure includes four short double-helical elements and three loops (D, anti-codon, and T loops). Further hydrogen bonds mediate the characteristic L-shaped molecular structure. tRNAs have two regions of fundamental functional importance: the anti-codon, which is responsible for specific mRNA codon recognition, and the 3' end, to which the tRNAs corresponding amino acid is attached (by aminoacyl-tRNA synthetases). tRNAs cope with the degeneracy of the genetic code in two manners: having more than one tRNA (with a specific anti-codon) for a particular amino acid; and 'wobble' base-pairing, i.e. permitting non-standard base-pairing at the 3rd anti-codon position. Lineage: Eukaryota; Metazoa; Arthropoda; Insecta; Diptera; Culicidae. The record is from RNAcentral.
CCUUCGAUAGCUCAGUUGGUAGAGCGGUGGACUGUAGAGAGUGAACACACGCACACGAUAGAGAGAAAUCCAUAGGUCGCUGGUUCAAAUCCGGCUCGAAGGA